GCUACAGGGGCAAGCCAGUGUGUCUGGCUAAUUUUUGCAAAGAAACGUUUUGCAGGGCUCUGCCCUGUGACAAACAGUCCCUUUCCACAAUGUUGGAGAUGAAGCUGGGCUUCGUGUCUGCACCUGCAUAUUCCUACAGCUCCCCAGAGUCCUGUGGACAAUGACUGGGGAGACAAACCAUGCAGGAAACAUGU
This is a small nucleolar RNA of Cebus imitator (Panamanian white-faced capuchin), 194 nucleotides long. Its record names the gene SNORA73. It matches the Rfam family "Small nucleolar RNA SNORA73 family". Rfam says of the family: U17 (SNORA73A and SNORA73B) also known as E1 belongs to the H/ACA class of small nucleolar RNAs (snoRNAs). Vertebrate U17 is intron-encoded and ranges in length from 200-230 nucleotides, longer than most snoRNAs. NCBI's taxonomy places the organism in Eukaryota, Metazoa, Chordata, Mammalia, Primates, Cebidae. The record is from Ensembl.